AUUUAUAUAGUUUAAAAUAAAACAUUACAUUUUCACUGUAAAAACAAUAUUUAAUUUUUAUUUAUAAAUA
Molecule: transfer RNA, 70 nt
Filed under: Phlaeoba angustidorsis
Lineage: Eukaryota; Metazoa; Arthropoda; Insecta; Orthoptera; Acrididae
Description: tRNA-Glu
Source: RNAcentral